RNAcentral lists this ribosomal RNA (427 nucleotides) under uncultured bacterium. Its description in RNAcentral is "partial 16S ribosomal RNA". It matches the Rfam family "Bacterial small subunit ribosomal RNA", at positions 355 to 774 of the family's 1533-position model. The record is from RNAcentral.
UGGGGAAUAUUGCACAAUGGGCGCAAGCCUGAUGCAGCCAUGCCGCGUGUAUGAAGAAGGCCUUCGGGUUGUAAAGUACUUUCAGCGGGGAGGAAGGUGUUGAGGCUAAUAACCUCAGCAAUUGACGUUACCCGCAGAAGAAGCACCGGCUAACUCCGUUCCAGCAGCCGCGGUAAUACGGAGGGUGCAAGCGUUAAUCGGAAUUACUGGGCGUAAAGCGCACGCAGGCGGUCUGUCAAGUCGGAUGUGAAAUCCCCGGGCUCAACCUGGGAACUGCAUUCGAAACUGGCAGGCUAGAGUCUUGUAGAGGGGGGUAGAAUUCCAGGUGUAGCGGUGAAAUGCGUAGAGAUCUGGAGGAAUACCGGUGGCGAAGGCGGCCCCCUGGACAAAGACUGACGCUCAGGUGCGAAAGCGUGGGGAGCAAACA